This is a long non-coding RNA of Chelmon rostratus (copperband butterflyfish), 810 nucleotides long. RefSeq lists it as uncharacterized. The record is from RefSeq and is a predicted model, not a curated record. The transcript has 9 exons. NCBI's taxonomy places the organism in Eukaryota, Metazoa, Chordata, Actinopteri, Chaetodontiformes, Chaetodontidae.
CUUCGUCUGCAAUGUUUCUGCCUCUUUUGACUUCGUUUGUCGGUUGAGUAGACGUGUCGGCCCUUGACAUUUUUUCCUAUAACAUGUUAGGAGUGGACAGUAAAUAGAGGCCCACAGUACUAACUUAAAACUAAUGGUUAUUUUAGUGAUAGUUUAUUGCGUAAGGUAAAACGUGAUAUCAGCUAGCUAAAGAGCAACAUUAGCUCUGUCCUGACGGGCCUCAAGCAGACACGUGGGGAAGACUGAAAGAUGGACAAGACGAAAGACAAGUGGACUUCACCCUGGCAGCUCUUUGCUAGAGUUCAGAUCCCAUAUUGGAUAUAUGGGGGUCUCAUGUCUGUGGGAGACUGCUCAGAUCCGGCCUGGUCUAGAUGAUGGAAAGUCAAUACUCGGCUGAAAAAACUGACAUAAGAUGUUGAUACCAGGAAAAUAAGCCUGUUGAUGACCACAGGUCUGAAUGAUGGUUUCCAUGCAACUCUGUGCAUGCUCCCAACUAAACCAGCAUACUGAAGACCAUUUGCUUCCAGCAGGUUGAGCUGGUUGCUGAAGGAGAUUCCUCUGAAGAGAGACUUGUUAUGAGGUGUCUUUCUGCCAGUCGGAUCCUGUCCCCUGAAGUCUGCUGUUGGGGGAAUUUAACAGAUUUGGAUCCAGUGGUUGCAAUGACUGUUAUACCUGCAAAGCUACAUGUGAUGACAAGAGGACUCACACACUGGUCUGAAGAUGUUUGUUGAAAGACAUUUUUGUAAAAAGCAGACUGAUUAAAUGUUUGGUAUAUUGUAAUAAAGCACAAAAACAGCCUGAUCGUUGAAA